AUUGAACGCUGGCGGCAGGCCUAACACAUGCAAGUCGAAUGGUAACAGGAAACAGCUUGCUGUUUCGCUGACGAGUGGCGGACGGGUGAGUAAUGUCUGGGAAACUGCCUGAUGGAGGGGGAUAACUACUGGAAACGGUAGCUAAUACCGCAUAACGUCGCAAGACCAAAGAGGGGGACCUUCGGGCCUCUUGCCAUCAGAUGUGCCCAGAUGGGAUUAGCUAGUAGGUGGGGUAACGGCUCACCUAGGCGACGAUCCCUAGCUGGUCUGAGAGGAUGACCAGCCACACUGGAAUUGAGACACGGUCCAGACUCCUACGGGAGGCAGCAGUGGGGAAUAUUGCACAAUGGGCGCAAGCCUGAUGCAGCCAUGCCGCGUGUAUGAAGAAGGCCUUCGGGUUGUAAAGUACUUUCAGCGGGGAGGAAGGGAGUAAAGUUAAUACCUUUGCUCAUUGACGUUACCCGCAGAAGAAGCACCGGCUAACUCCGUG
This 490-nucleotide ribosomal RNA is filed under the name uncultured bacterium. RNAcentral describes it as "partial 16S ribosomal RNA". It matches the Rfam family "Bacterial small subunit ribosomal RNA", at positions 30 to 507 of the family's 1533-position model. The record is from RNAcentral.